AUUGAACGCUGGCGGCAGGCCUAACACAUGCAAGUCGAACGGUAACAGGAAGCAGCUUGCUGCUUUGCUGACGAGUGGCGGACGGGUGAGUAAUGUCUGGGAAACUGCCCGAUGGAGGGGGAUAACUACUGGAAACGGUAGCUAAUACCGCAUAACGUCGCAAGACCAAAGAGGGGGACCUUAGGGCCUCUUGCCAUCGGAUGUGCCCAGAUGGGAUUAGCUAGUAGGUGGGGUAACGGCUCACCUAGGCGACGAUCCCUAGCUGGUCUGAGAGGAUGACCAGCCACACUGGAACUGAGACACGGUCCAGACUCCUACGGGAGGCAGCAGUGGGGAAUAUUGCACAAUGGGCGCAAGCCUGAUGCAGCCAUGCCGCGUGUAUGAAGAAGGCCUUCGGGUUGUAAAGUACUUUCAGCGGGGAGGAAGGGAGUAAAGUUAAUACCUUUGCUCAUUGACGUUACCCGCAGAAGAAGCACCGGCGAACUCCGU
RNAcentral lists this ribosomal RNA (489 nucleotides) under uncultured bacterium. RNAcentral describes it as "partial 16S ribosomal RNA". It matches the Rfam family "Bacterial small subunit ribosomal RNA", at positions 30 to 506 of the family's 1533-position model. The record is from RNAcentral.